Molecule: long non-coding RNA, 366 nt
Organism: Helianthus annuus (common sunflower)
Lineage: Eukaryota; Viridiplantae; Streptophyta; Magnoliopsida; Asterales; Asteraceae
Exons: 3
Source: RefSeq, a predicted model, not a curated record
AAAAAAAGACUAGUUUGUGGGUAUGUGUGUGUGCGUACGGGACAAAGAGCAGGAAGGGGGAAACCCUUCUCCAUCAAGCUUUGCAAGAAAUCCAAGAAAUUAAGGAGGAUUAAGGCUAGGUCUUUGAUGCAUGAGUUUAGAUUCAUGAUUCCUUAAGUGUUCUUGACAUCAAGGAUCAUGUCGAGACGGAAUCAAGCACGGAAGACUACGGGUCAAGAAGUGUCGAGGAAACAAAUAUGAACACGGAUGCAUGAGGUUAUACGGAUAACGGGCGAAUUAUCACAAGAAUUAGAGAUCGAAGACCGAGUCACGAGAUAGAUUGUACGGGAAUAAUUAAGUAUGUACUAUUAGUAAACAUGACUUAUA